UGCCGCCGCCGCGGUAAUACAGAGGGUGCGAGCGUUAAUCGGAAUUACUGGGCGUAAAGCGUGCGUAGGUGGAUAUUUAAGUCAGAUGUGAAAGCCCUGGGCUCAACCUGGGAACUGCAUUUGAAACUGAACAUCUAGAGUAUAGUAGAGGGAAGCGGAAUUUCCGGAGUAGCGGUGAAAUGCGUAGAUAUCGGAAGGAACACCAGUGGCGAAGGCGGCUUCCUGGACUAAAACUGACACUGAGGUACGAAAGCGUGGGUAGCAAACAGGAUUAGAUA
Molecule: ribosomal RNA, 278 nt
Filed under: uncultured bacterium
Lineage: Bacteria
Description: partial 16S ribosomal RNA
Rfam family: Bacterial small subunit ribosomal RNA
Source: RNAcentral